UGGGGAAUAUUGCACAAUGGAGGGAACUCUGAUGCAGCGACGCCGCGUGAGUGAUGAAGGAUUUCGUUUCGUAAAACUCUGUUCUAUGGGAAGAAAAGGACUGUACCAUAGGAGAAAGCUCCGGCUAAAUACGUGCCAGCAGCCGCGGUAAUACGUAUGGAGCGAGCGUUGUCCGGAAUUAUUGGGCGUAAAGGGUGCGCAGGCGGCUUUACAAGUUGGAUGUGAAAUAUUGUGGCUCAACCACAAACGUGCAUCCAAAACUGCAAAGCUUGAGUUAAGGAGAGGUAAGUGAAAUUCCUGGUGUAGCGGUGGAAUGCGUAGAUAUCAGGAGGAAUACCGGUGGCGAAGGCGACUUACUGGACUUAAACUGACGCUCAGGCACGAAAGCGUGGGGAGCAAACAGG
RNAcentral lists this ribosomal RNA (404 nucleotides) under Fusobacteriota bacterium. RNAcentral describes it as "Fusobacteria bacterium partial 16S ribosomal RNA". It matches the Rfam family "Bacterial small subunit ribosomal RNA", at positions 355 to 776 of the family's 1533-position model. The record is from RNAcentral. Lineage: Bacteria; Fusobacteriati; Fusobacteriota.